Molecule: ribosomal RNA, 253 nt
Filed under: uncultured bacterium
Lineage: Bacteria
Description: partial 16S ribosomal RNA
Rfam family: Bacterial small subunit ribosomal RNA
Source: RNAcentral
UACGAGGGGGGCAAAUGUUGUUCGGAAUCACUGGGCGUAAAGGGAGCGUAGGCGGGUUUCUAAGUCAGGUGUUUAAUCCCGGGGCCCAACCCCGGACAGGCACUUGAAACUGGGAAUCUUGAAUAGUGGAGAGGUCAGUGGAAUUGGGGGUGUAGCGGUGGAAUGCGUAGAGAUCCCCAAGAACACCAGUUGCGUAGGCGGCUGACUGGACACAUAUUGACGCUGAGGCUCGAAAGCAUGGGGAGCAAACAGG